RNAcentral lists this transfer RNA (82 nucleotides) under Planctomycetota bacterium. RNAcentral describes it as "tRNA-Leu". It matches the Rfam family "tRNA". From Rfam's summary of the family: Transfer RNA (tRNA) molecules are approximately 80 nucleotides in length. Their secondary structure includes four short double-helical elements and three loops (D, anti-codon, and T loops). RNAcentral also lists the same sequence under 3 other names. Lineage: Bacteria; Pseudomonadati; Planctomycetota. The record is from RNAcentral.
GCGGGCGUGGCGGAACUGGCAGACGCGCGGGAUUUAGGUUCCCGUGGGGCAACCCGUGCAGGUUCGAAUCCUGUCGCCCGCA